UACGUAGGGGGCAAGCGUUGUCCGGAUUUAUUGGGCGUAAAGAGCUCGUAGGCGGUUUGGUAAGUCAGGUGUGAAAUCUCCACGCUCAACGUGGAGGGGCCACCUGAUACUGCCAUGACUGGAGUCCGGUAGAGGAGUGUGGAAUUCCCGGUGUAGCGGUGAAAUGCGCAGAUAUCGGGAGGAACACCCGUAGCGAAGGCGGCUCUCUGGGCCGGUACUGACGCUGAGGAGCGAAAGCUAGGGGAGCAAACGGG
Molecule: ribosomal RNA, 254 nt
Filed under: uncultured bacterium
Lineage: Bacteria
Description: partial 16S ribosomal RNA
Rfam family: Bacterial small subunit ribosomal RNA
Source: RNAcentral